UUUUUUUUUAAUUUUAUGGCCUGGGGGUCUAGCCAUAUUGGUGUCGAAAAGUAUUCUACAUACACUACCGCUUUUGCGUAAUUGUACUGUCGAAAACGCUUCGUUCGUAGCCAAGAGGCAUGUCGAUACAUUACCGCAAAGUCGACAGCGUAGAUGCGAGCUGCUGUUCGUAGCACCUUAUUCCGUCAUAUUGUCUCUGGAUUAAAUGUAUUCCUAAUGUCACUUUUAUAAACAAAUAAAAGUUAAAACUUUACAAUAUUAUUGUAAAUUUGCAAUUGGAAGCUGCAAAAGGGACAUUAGAAUGUCAGCAAGGUCGGAACAAUUUUCGAUUUAAGUGGAAUUUACGGAAGGUGCAAAGUGAAUAUAUGAAUUUAAUUGCAUGUUUAAAUUAAUUAUGGAUUUGACCUCACAACUAAUCUGCAAAAUGAA
This is a long non-coding RNA of Pieris napi, 429 nucleotides long. RefSeq lists it as uncharacterized. The record is from RefSeq and is a predicted model, not a curated record. Lineage: Eukaryota; Metazoa; Arthropoda; Insecta; Lepidoptera; Pieridae. The transcript has 3 exons.